GGGAAUUAUUAAAGUCUUUUUGACUUUUAAAAAAAUUAUAUUGCAGCCAACACUUUUCUUCAUUUUAAUUUUUUUUUUAAGAAGGUAAAAUGAAAUUUAUUUAAAACACUAAGAUUCUAGCAAGCACAAGGAAUGCUAGGUUAAGAGACUUAAAAAGCAACAUACAAAGGAAAAGUGUGCCGUAUAUAUGCGGAACACCCAUGUACAAAUACAAACUUCUACAAACAAACCAAAAACACCCUCCACUGAGGGCCCUCGAAACCAAUAAAAACUAAACACCAAACCAAGAGUCAUCACCAAAAACCAAAGUCUAAACGUCUUAAACAAGCCACACCGUCUAACAUUCAUGUAUUUGAAAACCUUAUCAACAACAAACUCAUAGAAGAAAACCUUCAAAAAGCAUAAUCACCACUAGCCACCACAAGCACCACUACCAACCCCAAAUCUACCAUUAACCACCACGAAAACCACCAUUAAUCCUCACCAAAAACCAGCACCAACCACCAUGAGCAUCACCACCAAAAAACAACAUCAGCCACCACGAGCAUCACCACCAAAAACCACCAUGAGCACCACCACAAAAGACCAAGUAUCAACACCACCAUAAAAACCACCAUGAAACACCACAAUCCAACAUAACAAAAAAAACAACGUACGACCUUCUCAACAUCAUCACCACAAACAAAACUCAUCGCCACAUAAAAAUAAAAUAAAAAUUAAUCUUAACACUUGUAAGUAACAAGACACUACCUUCCCCAUAACACAACAUCAUAGGUACUAAAAGAGUGCAAGCAACCAAAAAUGCCAAAACAAAAGGUAACCUACACAUAACAUGAUCCUCUGCCACACAUUGCUCCACCUAACAUGUUUUCCCUUAGACCUCUAAUUUCGUAAGUCCAUGCCUACAACCACAUUCAAGUAAUAUAUGGCUUAAACUCAACACUAACCCACACCUAAAAUUAUGCAGAAGCAGUAUGUCAAAAACCAUAGCAGCACCAAAUUGAACAACCAUUAAAUAAGCUUUACACAUUGAAUACACCAACAGAACACAAACAUGACAAAUUAAGACCAUCCUGCACUCCCUAAACCAAUGAAAGACAAACCUGCCACAAAAACGCAGCAACAUCACAAAAACUACGUUGAGAACCACCACAAAAAACUAGCAGCACCACCACCAUAAAACCCCUCCGAAAACCAUCACAAACCACCACAAAAAACGCAGCAAACUAACACCACCAUGAACGCGAGCGAUGGAUAAAACAACCGCUGAGAGAAACCGGUGGCCGAGUGAUGCGGACGGCCUAAGCCAAUCAUCGCACCACCAACGAUUGAAUCUACAUCGCGGCGGAUAUAGGUUGGAUUGGAAGGAAGGAGGGUGACGGUGGAGAUCUAGAGAGAGGUCAUAGAUGUUUUUACAGAGAGAAAUUUAGGGUUUGCUUAUGAUUCUUCACUUUAAUAUGUUGUACAAUCACACUUUUAAGUCACUCGAAAUGCCUGGAUGAUUAUUUUGAAUUUCUAAGUUAUGUAAUUUUAUUUUAUU
RNAcentral lists this long non-coding RNA (1540 nucleotides) under Medicago truncatula (barrel medic). Its description in RNAcentral is "long non-coding RNA (MTRU_LNC003676)". The record is from RNAcentral. Lineage: Eukaryota; Viridiplantae; Streptophyta; Magnoliopsida; Fabales; Fabaceae.